GGACCCAUAGCUCAGCGGAUAGAGCUCCUGCCUUCUAAGCAGGAUGCCGCAGGUUCGAUUCCUGCUGGGUCCGCCA
RNAcentral lists this transfer RNA (76 nucleotides) under Deltaproteobacteria bacterium CG11_big_fil_rev_8_21_14_0_20_49_13. RNAcentral's name for it is "tRNA-Arg". It matches the Rfam family "tRNA". From Rfam's summary of the family: Transfer RNA (tRNA) molecules are approximately 80 nucleotides in length. Their secondary structure includes four short double-helical elements and three loops (D, anti-codon, and T loops). Further hydrogen bonds mediate the characteristic L-shaped molecular structure. tRNAs have two regions of fundamental functional importance: the anti-codon, which is responsible for specific mRNA codon recognition, and the 3' end, to which the tRNAs corresponding amino acid is attached (by aminoacyl-tRNA synthetases). tRNAs cope with the degeneracy of the genetic code in two manners: having more than one tRNA (with a specific anti-codon) for a particular amino acid; and 'wobble' base-pairing, i.e. permitting non-standard base-pairing at the 3rd anti-codon position. The record is from RNAcentral. Lineage: Bacteria; Deltaproteobacteria.